GGAAAUUUCACGUGAUAAAUAUUAGAUCAACUCCAUAAGAAGAAGAAACUUAGAAAUGCCCUUCCAGAGGUUUUAUAGCUAAUGGAUCAAUUGAUUAAUUUAGCUCCCAAAACAAUUAUUUAGAAGAGUAGAUUGGAAAGAAUUUUCAGGGAAACAUUAAUAUGAAAGCAGACUAACGUCUAAAUUCACAAGCAGCUUUAGACACUCUUACAUAUAAGCUUGUGUUUUAAUGCACAAACUGGCAUAUUCAAGCUGAAUAAUUAUUUUGUUUUUUUAUAUUAUAAGAAUUGGUAGAACCAUACAAUUUAAACACCAGACCUAGAUGUGCCCAUCAUGUGCAAUCAGUAUGUGAUGCACAUUGCCUCAGGAAGAGAAGAUAAAUU
RNAcentral lists this unclassified non-coding RNA (383 nucleotides) under Hevea brasiliensis (rubber tree). Lineage: Eukaryota; Viridiplantae; Streptophyta; Magnoliopsida; Malpighiales; Euphorbiaceae. The record is from RNAcentral.